Molecule: ribosomal RNA, 190 nt
Filed under: uncultured fungus
Lineage: Eukaryota; Fungi
Description: partial small subunit ribosomal RNA
Rfam family: Eukaryotic small subunit ribosomal RNA (bases 77-190)
Source: RNAcentral
GACUGUUUGCGGGAGCGCACUCUGUGCGUAUCUUGCGGGCAGUCUUUUUCUGGGGAACCGGCAACGGGGAGCCCAGACGUUUACUUUGAAGAAAUUAGAGUGUUUAAAGCAGGCUUAUGCCUGAAUACGUUAGCAUGGAAUAAUAGAAUAGGACUUUGGUUCUAUUUUGUUGGUUUCUAGGACCGAGGUA